This 460-nucleotide ribosomal RNA is filed under the name uncultured bacterium. Its description in RNAcentral is "partial 16S ribosomal RNA". It matches the Rfam family "Bacterial small subunit ribosomal RNA", at positions 338 to 795 of the family's 1533-position model. The record is from RNAcentral.
CCUACGGGAGGCAGCAGUGAGGAAUAUUGGUCAAUGGCCGUAAGGCUGAACCAGCCAAGUCGCGUGAAGGAAGAAGGAUCUAUUGUUUGUAAACUUCUUUUAUAGGGGAAUAAAGGUAUCCACGUGUGGAUAUUUGCAUGUACCCUAUGAAUAAGCAUCGGCUAACUCCGUGCCAGCAGCCGCGGUAAUACGGAGGAUGCGAGCGUUAUCCGGAUUUAUUGGGUUUAAAGGGUGCGUAGGUUGUUUUUUAAGUCAGCGGGGAAAGUUUGUGGCUCAACCAUAAAAUUGCCGUUGAAACUGGAAGACUUGAGUGUGUUUGAGGUAGGCGGAAUGCGUGGUGUAGCGGUGAAAUGCAUAGAUAUCACGCAGAACUCCGAUUGCGAAGGCAGCUUACUAAGCCAUAACUGACACUGAAGCACGAAAGCGUGGGGAUCAAACAGGAUUAGAUACCCGAGUAGUC